AAGCUAAUUAGGAAGUUCUCCCUCGCAUGGCCUUCUUUUGUCUAAAGAUGAUCAGAGUUAUCGGCGUCUAAGAUAAGGUCGAUCACGGCUCCCGUGAAUUCCACUUAGAAGCCUGAGGGAUUUCCACUACGUCCUACGUAUCCCGUGCGUGAAACUAAGGUUGAGCUUAAAAGUGCCAAACCUGGCGUCAAGGUGUAACGUACGUAGUGUGAAACAGUAGCGAAAGAAUUUAGAAUCCAAGAACUUUUCUGACAAGCACGAUUUUCAAGUACGAGGCGACUAGGUUGAAUCUAAAGCACAAAUCCGUCAUUAUGGUACGCAACACGUCUCUACUAUCGCUACUUCUUGUUCUCAUACUGGCUUUGAGCCUCGUUACUCACUGCUCAGCGGCUGCCUCUGCUGCGCAAUGCAACAGUUGGGGAAGCCGAAGGAUUAACAGAAUUUGCAAGAGAAUGCACGCCAAGAGUUUUGAGCUGCCGAAAGAACUGGUUCGAUUGCGCCAAGAACAAAGAGAGAACCCAGAGGACGGGAUAUCUCUAGACACCCUUGUGUUUCUGCAGGAGUUGUUCAAUGAGGAAAACACGCAGGAUUGAUCUCAAAUCCGCAAGCCUCAUUACUUAAGACUUGACGGUACUCCAACAAGAGACAUUUUCAAAAAUAUUUUGAUCAUUCAUACUUGGAACUGUUUAUGAUAAGCAAUGCCAUAUCCCCACGCAGUAGGGACUUAUUGUAAAUAGAAUUUAUCUUAUGGCAUGAGCAUUCUCCUAUAGCCUAUGCACAGUCAACUACAAACCAAAAUCAGAUAAGUAUUAUGUUGUUUAGUUAGAUAUGACUUGUUUGUAAUAGCAAAUCAAAAAAAUGUGUAAACAGUCGAUUAAAAGUAUAAAAUGUCGUACAUAAA
Nematostella vectensis (starlet sea anemone) is the source of this 901-nucleotide long non-coding RNA. RefSeq lists it as uncharacterized. The record is from RefSeq and is a predicted model, not a curated record. NCBI's taxonomy places the organism in Eukaryota, Metazoa, Cnidaria, Anthozoa, Actiniaria, Edwardsiidae. The transcript has 3 exons.